GACGAACGCUGGCGGCGUGCUUAACACAUGCAAGUCGAACGGAAAGGCCCUGCUUUUGUGGGGUGCUCGAGUGGCGAACGGGUGAGUAACACGUGAGUAACCUGCCCUUGACUUUGGGAUAACUUCAGGAAACUGGGGCUAAUACCGGAUAGGAGCUCCUGCUGCAUGGUGGGGGUUGGAAAGUUUCGGCGGUUGGGGAUGGACUCGCGGCUUAUCAGCUUGUUGGUGGGGUAGUGGCUUACCAAGGCUUUGACGGGUAGCCGGCCUGAGAGGGUGACCGGCCACAUUGGGACUGAGAUACGGCCCAGACUCCUACGGGAGGCAGCAGUGGGGAAUAUUGCACAAUGGGCGGAAGCCUGAUGCAGCAACGCCGCGUGCGGGAUGACGGCCUUCGGGUUGUAAACCGCUUUCGCCUGUGACGAAGCGUGAGUGACGGUAAUGGGUAAAGAAGCACCGGCUAACUACGUGCCAGCAGCCGCGGUGAUACGUAGGGUGCGAGCGUUGUCCGGAUUUAUUGGGCGUAAAGGGCUCGUAGGUGGUUGAUCGCGUCGGAAGUGUAGUCUUGGGGCUUAACCCUGAGCGUGCUUUCGAUACGGGUUGACUUGAGGAAGGUAGGGGAGAAUGGAAUUCCUGGUGGAGCGGUGGAAUGCGCAGAUAUCAGGAGGAACACCAGUGGCGAAGGCGGUUCUCUGGGCCUUUCCUGACGCUGAGGAGCGAAAGCGCGGGGAGCGGACAGGCUUAGAUACCCUGGUAGUCCACGCUGUAAACGGUGGGUACUAGGUGUGGGGUCCAUUCCACGGGUUCCGUGCCGUAGCUAACGCUUUAAGUACCCCGCCUGGGGAGUACGGCCGCAAGGCUAAAACUCAAAGGAAUUGACGGGGCCCCGCACAAGCGGCGGAGCAUGCGGAUUAAUUCGAUGCAACGCGUAGAACCUUACCCGGGUUUGACAUGGAUCGGGAGCGCUCAGAGAUGGGUGUGCCUCUUUUGGGGUCGGUUCACAGGUGGUGCAUGGCUGUCGUCAGCUCGUGUCGUGAGAUGUUGGGUUAAGUCCCGCAACGAGCACAACCCUUGUUCACUGUUGCCAGCACGUUAUGGUGGGGACUCAGUGGAGACCGCCGGGGUCAACUCGGAGGAAGGUGGGGAUGACGUCAAGUCAUCAUGCCCCUUAUGUCCAGGGCUUCACGCAUGCUACAAUGGCUGGUACAGAGAGUGGCGAGCCUGUGAGGGUGAGCGAAUCUCGGAAAGCCGGUCUCAGUUCGGAUUGGGGUCUGCAACUCGACCUCAUGAAGUCGGAGUCGCUAGUAAUCGCAGAUCAGCAACGCUGCGGUGAAUACGUUCCCGGGGCU
Molecule: ribosomal RNA, 1346 nt
Filed under: uncultured bacterium
Lineage: Bacteria
Description: bacterial SSU rRNA
Rfam family: Bacterial small subunit ribosomal RNA
Source: RNAcentral